CUCAAAUCAGGUAGGACUACCCGCUGAACUUAAGCAUAUC
Molecule: ribosomal RNA, 40 nt
Filed under: Somion unicolor
Lineage: Eukaryota; Fungi; Basidiomycota; Agaricomycetes; Polyporales; Cerrenaceae
Also listed under: 1 other name
Description: Spongipellis unicolor partial 28S ribosomal RNA
Source: RNAcentral